This 274-nucleotide ribosomal RNA is filed under the name uncultured bacterium. Its description in RNAcentral is "partial 16S ribosomal RNA". It matches the Rfam family "Bacterial small subunit ribosomal RNA", at positions 523 to 796 of the family's 1533-position model. The record is from RNAcentral.
AUACGGAGGGAGUUCGCGUUGUUCGGAAUUACUGGGCGUAAAGCGCACGUAGGCGGAUUGGAAAGUUGGGGGGGAAAUCCCAGGGCUCAACCCUGGAACUGCCUCCAAAACUAACAGUCUAGAGUUCGAGAGAGGUGAGUGGAAUUCCAAGUGUAGAGGUGAAAUUCGUAGAUAUUUGGAGGAACACCAGUGGCGAAGGCGGCUCACUGGCUCGAUACUGACGCUGAGGUGCGAAAGCGUGGGGAGCAAACAGGAUUAGAUACCCUAGUAGUCC